UGAAUACGAGAUGCUACGGCGUCGAAGCAGUCUAUGUCAUACUUCCAAGAAAAGCUUGCACUGUCAUAAACAAAUAAUGCCUGUACCAUAACCGACACAGGUGGGUAGGUAGAGUAUACUAAGGGGCGCGAGAUAACUCUCUCUAAGGAACUCGGCAAAAUGACUCCGUAACUUCGGGAGAAGGAGUGCCUUAUUUAUAAGGUUGCAAUAACAAGAUCCAAGCAACUGUUUACCAAAAACACAGGUCUCCGCUAAGUCGUAAGACGAUGUAUGGGGGCUGACGCCUGCCCAGUGCCAGAAGGUUAAAGAAGUUGGUUAGCAUCCGCGAAGCUGAUAACUGAAGCCCUGGUGAACGGCGGCCGUAACUAUAACGGUCCUAAGGUAGCGAAAUUCCUUGUCGGGUAAGUUCCGACCCGCACGAAAGGCGUAAUGAUUUGGAUACUGUCUCGGAGAGGGGCUCGGUGAAAUAGACUUGUCUGUGAAGAUGCGGACUACCUGCACCAGGACAGAAAGACCCUAUGAAGCUUUACUGUAACCUGAAAUUGAAAUUGGACUUUACUUGCGCAGUAUAGGUGGGAGGCGUUGAGAAUAUUCUUGCGGGAUUAUUGGAGCCAUCAGUGGGAUAGCACUCUUGUAAUGUUAGAUUUCUAACUUUGUAUCAUUAUCUGGUCAAAGAACAGUUUCAGGCGGGCAGUUUGACUGGGGCGGUCGCCUCCUAAACGGUAACGGAGGCGCACAAAGGUUUCCUCUGAACGGGUAGAAAUCGUAUCUAGAGUGUAAAGGCAUAAGGAAGCUUGACUGUGAGACCUACAAGUCGAGCAGGGACGAAAGUCGGUCUUAGUGAUCUGACGGUGCUGAGUGGAAAGGCCGUCACUCAACGGAUAAAAGUUACUCUAGGAUAACAGGCUGAUCUCCCCCAAGAGUUCACAUCGACGGGGAGGUUUGGCACCUCGAUGUCGGCUCAUCGCAUCCUGGGGCGGUAGUACGUCCCAAGGGUUGGGCUGUUCGCCCAUGAAAGCGGUACGCGAGCUGGGUUCAGAACGUCGUGAGACAGUUCGGUCCAUAUCCGGUGUAGGCGUUAGAAUAUUGAGAGGAGCCUUCUUUAGUACGAGAGGACCGAGAAGGACAUACCUCUGGUGUACCAGUUAUCGUGCCAACGGUAAACGCUGGGUAGCUAUGUGUGGAGUGGAUAACCGCUGAAAGCAUCUAAGUGGGAAGCCCACCUCAAGAUAAGUAUUCUC
Molecule: ribosomal RNA, 1241 nt
Filed under: metagenome
Description: bacterial LSU rRNA
Rfam family: Bacterial large subunit ribosomal RNA
Source: RNAcentral